UGGGGACACUGUUGGGACCGCCUCUGCUAAAGAGGAGGAAGGAAUGGGCAACGGUAGGUCAGCAUGCCCCGAAUUAUCCGGGCUACACGCGGGCUACAAUGGUCAGGACAAUGGGUAUCGACACCGAGAGGUGGAGGCAAUCUCCUAAACCUGUCCUUAGUUCGGAUUGUGGGCUGCAACUCGCCCACAUGAAGCUGGAAUCCGUAGUAAUCGCGUUUCAAAAUAGCGCGGUGAAUAUGUCCCUGCUCCUU
Molecule: ribosomal RNA, 251 nt
Filed under: uncultured Methanolinea sp.
Lineage: Archaea; Methanobacteriati; Methanobacteriota; Methanomicrobia; Methanomicrobiales; Methanoregulaceae
Description: partial 16S ribosomal RNA
Rfam family: Archaeal small subunit ribosomal RNA
Source: RNAcentral